UCCCAUCCCAUUGUUCCCAUCCCAUCCCAUCCCAUUGUUCCCAUCCCAUCCCAUUGUUCCCAUCCCAUCCCAUCCCAUCCCCAUCCCAUUGUUCCCAUCCCAUCCCAUCCCAUUCCAUCCCAUCCCAUCCCAUCCCAUCGUUCCCAUCCCAUCCCAUCCCAUUGUUCCCAUCCCAUCCCAUUGUUCCCAUCCACAUCCCGUCCCAUCCCAUCCCACCCCAUUGUUCCCAUCCCAUCCCAUCCCAUCCCAUUCCAUUGUUCCCAUCCCAUCCCAUCCCAUUGUUCCCAUCCCAUCCCAUCCCAUCCCAUCGUUCCCAUCCCAUCCCAUUCCAUCCCAUCCCAUCCCAUUGUUCCCAUCCCAUUGUUCCCAUCCCAUCCCAUUGUUCCCAUCCCAUCCCAUUGUUCCCAUCCCAUCCCAUCCCAUCCCAUCCCAUUGUCCCCAUCCCGUCCCGUUCUUCCCACCCCAUUGCUGCUGCCCUCACUCUGUGCCCCGCUCCAACCCCAAAUUCCGCACCCCCCCCUUGGGGUCUGACCCGGGGCAGGCAGCGCUCCGGGGGGGGGGCACCGUGCCCCAUGGGGACGGGGCAGGAGCCUUGGGCCCCCCAGGUUCUGCUCCUUUGGGGCCGACCCCACAUCCGUGGGGCCGAGCGCGCAUCCUUUGGGGCGUCCUCCCCCUAUGGGGCCGUGCUCCAGCCCCAGCUCUCCCAGGCCCGCUGCCUCUGGUUCCGGGAGUUAAUUAACGCAGCUAAUUAGCACGAUGUUAGACAGCUCUCCCUCUGCCCACAGGGUGGCGCUCUGGAUUGCGGUGCCCUGCCCCAUAGAGCGGAGAGCUGCUAUAGGGCCGGCUGUGCCCCAUAGCGCAAGGAGCUGCUAUAGGGCCGGCUGUGC
Long non-coding RNA from Numida meleagris (helmeted guineafowl), 887 nucleotides. Lineage: Eukaryota; Metazoa; Chordata; Aves; Galliformes; Numididae. The record is from Ensembl.